RNAcentral lists this small RNA (118 nucleotides) under Planktothrix serta PCC 8927. RNAcentral's name for it is "HEARO". It matches the Rfam family "HNH endonuclease-associated RNA and ORF (HEARO) RNA", at positions 1 to 132 of the family's 211-position model. The record is from RNAcentral. Lineage: Bacteria; Bacillati; Cyanobacteriota; Cyanophyceae; Oscillatoriales; Microcoleaceae.
GUCAGCACCCCGCUCUGAAGAGACGGGGCUUCAUGCCUCUAACUUUAGAUAGCUGACCAGCCUCAGCCUAACGGCUACGUUUUCNUACUGUGGUAAACUCAACUCGAUGGGCACUGUU